RNAcentral lists this long non-coding RNA (252 nucleotides) under Musa acuminata (dwarf banana). RNAcentral's name for it is "long non-coding RNA (MACU_LNC000452)". Lineage: Eukaryota; Viridiplantae; Streptophyta; Magnoliopsida; Zingiberales; Musaceae. The record is from RNAcentral.
AAACUACUUGAUAUAUGUUUAUGAUUUAAUCUGCGUUUUGAGUGAUGCAGGAUGCUUCGAUCUGGAUGAGAUAAUUAAAGCAGGAAAAUCAUGUUGUGCUGGAGGAACAUGUCAGAAGAUUGGACGUCGGGCCGGUGGAUCGGUCGACGUAUCGACAGAAGGCUUCGGGUCGUGGACUCGGGCAUCGGGCCAAGAAGAGCGGGUAUUGUGCCAAGGAUAUCGGAGUUGCGGAGUCAACAGGCCGAUUGGGCA